This 2922-nucleotide ribosomal RNA is filed under the name Bacillus cereus. RNAcentral's name for it is "bacterial LSU rRNA". It matches the Rfam family "Bacterial large subunit ribosomal RNA". Lineage: Bacteria; Bacillati; Bacillota; Bacilli; Caryophanales; Bacillaceae. The record is from RNAcentral.
UUAAGUUAGAAAGGGCGCACGGUGGAUGCCUUGACACUAGGAGUCGAUGAAGGACGGGACUAACGCCGAUAUGCUUCGGGGAGCUGUAAGUAAGCUUUGAUCCGAAGAUUUCCGAAUGGGGAAACCCACCAUACGUAAUGGUAUGGUAUCCUUAUCUGAAUACAUAGGGUAAGGAAGACAGACCCAGGGAACUGAAACAUCUAAGUACCUGGCAGGAAGAGAAAGCAAAUGCGAUUUCCUCGAGUAGCGGCGAGCGAAACGGAACAUAGCCCAAACCAAGAGGCUUGCCUCUUGGGGUUGUAGGACAUUCUAUACGGAGUUACAAAGGAACGAGGUAGACGAAGCGACCUGGAAAGGUCCGUCGUAGAGGGUAACAACCCCGUAGUCGAAACUUCGUUCUCUCUUGAAUGUAUCCUGAGUACGGCGGAACACGUGAAAUUCCGUCGGAAUCUGGGAGGACCAUCUCCCAAGGCUAAAUACUCCCUAGUGAUCGAUAGUGAACCAGUACCGUGAGGGAAAGGUGAAAAGCACCCCGGAAGGGGAGUGAAAGAGAUCCUGAAACCGUGUGCCUACAAAUAGUCAGAGCCCGUUAACGGGUGAUGGCGUGCCUUUUGUAGAAUGAACCGGCGAGUUACGAUCCCGUGCGAGGUUAAGCUGAAGAGGCGGAGCCGCAGCGAAAGCGAGUCUGAAUAGGGCGUUUAGUACGUGGUCGUAGACCCGAAACCAGGUGAUCUACCCAUGUCCAGGGUGAAGUUCAGGUAACACUGAAUGGAGGCCCGAACCCACGCACGUUGAAAAGUGCGGGGAUGAGGUGUGGGUAGCGGAGAAAUUCCAAUCGAACCUGGAGAUAGCUGGUUCUCCCCGAAAUAGCUUUAGGGCUAGCCUUAAGUGUAAGAGUCUUGGAGGUAGAGCACUGAUUGGACUAGGGGUCCUCAUCGGAUUACCGAAUUCAGUCAAACUCCGAAUGCCAAUGACUUAUCCUUAGGAGUCAGACUGCGAGUGAUAAGAUCCGUAGUCAAAAGGGAAACAGCCCAGACCGCCAGCUAAGGUCCCAAAGUGUGUAUUAAGUGGAAAAGGAUGUGGAGUUGCUUAGACAACUAGGAUGUUGGCUUAGAAGCAGCCACCAUUUAAAGAGUGCGUAAUAGCUCACUAGUCGAGUGACUCUGCGCCGAAAAUGUACCGGGGCUAAAUACACCACCGAAGCUGCGGAUUGAUACCAAUGGUAUCAGUGGUAGGGGAGCGUUCUAAGGACAGUGAAGUCAGACCGGAAGGACUGGUGGAGUGCUUAGAAGUGAGAAUGCCGGUAUGAGUAGCGAAAGACGGGUGAGAAUCCCGUCCACCGAAUGCCUAAGGUUUCCUGAGGAAGGCUCGUCCGCUCAGGGUUAGUCAGGACCUAAGCCGAGGCCGACAGGCGUAGGCGAUGGACAACAGGUUGAUAUUCCUGUACCACCUCUUUAUCGUUUGAGCAAUGGAGGGACGCAGAAGGAUAGAAGAAGCGUGCGAUUGGUUGUGCACGUCCAAGCAGUUAGGCUGAUAAGUAGGCAAAUCCGCUUAUCGUGAAGGCUGAGCUGUGAUGGGGAAGCUCCUUAUGGAGCGAAGUCUUUGAUUCCCCGCUGCCAAGAAAAGCUUCUAGCGAGAUAAAAGGUGCCUGUACCGCAAACCGACACAGGUAGGCGAGGAGAGAAUCCUAAGGUGUGCGAGAGAACUCUGGUUAAGGAACUCGGCAAAAUGACCCCGUAACUUCGGGAGAAGGGGUGCUUUCUUAACGGAAAGCCGCAGUGAAUAGGCCCAAGCGACUGUUUAGCAAAAACACAGCUCUCUGCGAAGCCGUAAGGCGAAGUAUAGGGGGUGACACCUGCCCGGUGCUGGAAGGUUAAGGAGAGGGGUUAGCGUAAGCGAAGCUCUGAACUGAAGCCCCAGUAAACGGCGGCCGUAACUAUAACGGUCCUAAGGUAGCGAAAUUCCUUGUCGGGUAAGUUCCGACCCGCACGAAAGGUGUAACGAUUUGGGCACUGUCUCAACCAGAGACUCGGUGAAAUUAUAGUACCUGUGAAGAUGCAGGUUACCCGCGACAGGACGGAAAGACCCCGUGGAGCUUUACUGUAGCCUGAUAUUGAAUUUUGGUACAGUUUGUACAGGAUAGGCGGGAGCCUUUGAAACCGGAGCGCUAGCUUCGGUGGAGGCGCUGGUGGGAUACCGCCCUGACUGUAUUGAAAUUCUAACCUACGGGUCUUAUCGACCCGGGAGACAGUGUCAGGUGGGCAGUUUGACUGGGGCGGUCGCCUCCUAAAGUGUAACGGAGGCGCCCAAAGGUUCCCUCAGAAUGGUUGGAAAUCAUUCGUAGAGUGCAAAGGCAUAAGGGAGCUUGACUGCGAGACCUACAAGUCGAGCAGGGACGAAAGUCGGGCUUAGUGAUCCGGUGGUUCCGCAUGGAAGGGCCAUCGCUCAACGGAUAAAAGCUACCCCGGGGAUAACAGGCUUAUCUCCCCCAAGAGUCCACAUCGACGGGGAGGUUUGGCACCUCGAUGUCGGCUCAUCGCAUCCUGGGGCUGUAGUCGGUCCCAAGGGUUGGGCUGUUCGCCCAUUAAAGCGGUACGCGAGCUGGGUUCAGAACGUCGUGAGACAGUUCGGUCCCUAUCCGUCGUGGGCGUAGGAAAUUUGAGAGGAGCUGUCCUUAGUACGAGAGGACCGGGAUGGACGCACCGCUGGUGUACCAGUUGUUCUGCCAAGGGCAUAGCUGGGUAGCUAUGUGCGGAAGGGAUAAGUGCUGAAAGCAUCUAAGCAUGAAGCCCCCCUCAAGAUGAGAUUUCCCAUAGCGUAAGCUAGUAAGAUCCCUGAAAGAUGAUCAGGUUGAUAGGUUCGAGGUGGAAGCAUGGUGACAUGUGGAGCUGACGAAUACUAAUAGAUCGAGGACUUAACCAU